RNAcentral lists this ribosomal RNA (253 nucleotides) under uncultured bacterium. RNAcentral's name for it is "partial 16S ribosomal RNA". It matches the Rfam family "Bacterial small subunit ribosomal RNA", at positions 524 to 776 of the family's 1533-position model. The record is from RNAcentral.
UACAGAGGUCUCAAGCGUUGUUCGGAUUCAUUGGGCGUAAAGGGUGCGUAGGCGGCCUGACAAGUCUGAUGUGAAAUCCCUGGGCUCAACCCAGGGCCUGCAUCGGAAACUGUCGGGCUUGAGUAUGGGAGAGGUGAGUGGAAUUUCCGGUGUAGCGGUGAAAUGCGUAGAUAUCGGAAGGAACACCUGUGGCGAAAGCGGCUCACUGGACCAUUACUGACGCUGAGGCACGAAAGCUAGGGGAGCAAACAGG